UCAAAACAUGUAACAUAUUAAGUUAAGAUUCAUAAUAUGGCUUAAGGAACUAAAGUUUUUAGCAUCUAAUAUUUUAAGUUAGUCAAUUGAAGCAUUAUGUUGCCUAAAGUAACCUCUAUUGUGUAGAUUGAUUAAUCUUGAAAUAUAAGAUGACUGUGGAUGUUAGUCUUCCAUGCGUUUAACACCGGCCCAAAGGAAGGU
RNAcentral lists this long non-coding RNA (201 nucleotides) under Nicotiana benthamiana. RNAcentral's name for it is "long non-coding RNA (NBEN_LNC015905)". The record is from RNAcentral. Lineage: Eukaryota; Viridiplantae; Streptophyta; Magnoliopsida; Solanales; Solanaceae.